GACCUGAGAGGGUGAUCGGCCACAUUGGAACUGAGACACGGUCCAAACUCCUACGGGAGGCAGCAGUGGGGAAUAUUGCACAAUGGGCGAAAGCCUGAUGCAGCAACGCCGCGUGAAGGAAGAAGGCCUUCGGGUCGUAAACUUCUGUCCUUGGGGAAGAAAAAAAUGACGGUACCCAUGGAGGAAGCCCCGGCUAACUACGUGCCAGCAGCCGCGGUAAUACGUAGGGGGCAAGCGUUAUCCGGAAUUAUUGGGCGUAAAGAGUGCGUAGGUGGCAACUUAAGUCCAGGGUUUAAGGCAAUGGCUCAACCAUUGUAAGCCCUGGAAACUGGGUUGCUUGAGUGCAGGAGAGGAAAGCGGAAUUCCUAGUGUAGCGGUGAAAUGCGUAGAUAUUAGGAGGAACACCAGUGGCGAAGGCGGCUUUCUGGACUGUAACUGACACUGAGGCACGAAAGCGUGGGGAGCAAACAGGAUUAGAUACCCUGGUAGUCCACGCCGUAAACGAUGAGCACUAGGUGUCGGGGUCGCAAGACUUCGGUGCCGCAGUUAACGCAUUAAGUGCUCCGCCUGGGGAGUACGCACGCAAGUGUGAAACUCAAAGGAAUUGACGGGGACCCGCACAAGCAGCGGAGCAUGUGGUUUAAUUCGAAGCAACGCGAAGAACCUUACCAGGACUUGACAUCCAUCUGACAGGCUCUUAACCGAGCCCUUCUUCGGACAGAUGAGACAGGUGGUGCAUGGUUGUCGUCAGCUCGUGUCGUGAGAUGUUGGGUUAAGUCCCGCAACGAGCGCAACCCUUGCCGUUAGUUGCCAUCAUUAAGUUGGGCACUCUAAUGGGACUGCCGGGGACAACUCGGAGGAAGGUGGGGAUGACGUCAAAUCAUCAUGCCCCUUAUGUUCUGGGCUACACACGUGCUACAAUGGCCGGUACAGAAAGCAGCGAAGUCGUGAGGCGGAGCGAAUCUCCAAAACCGGUCCCAGUUCGGACUGCAGGCUGCAACUCGCCUGCACGAAGCCGGAGUUGCUAGUAAUCGCAGAUCAGAAUGCUGCGGUGAAUGCGUUCCCGGGUCUUGUACACACCGCCCGUCACACCAUGGAAGUUGGGGGUGCCCGAAGCCGGUAAGCAAAUAUACUGUCGAAGGCAAAACCAAUGACUGGGGUGAAGUCGUAACAAGGUAGCCGUAUCGGAAGGUGCGGCUGGAUCA
RNAcentral lists this ribosomal RNA (1205 nucleotides) under feces metagenome. RNAcentral describes it as "bacterial SSU rRNA". It matches the Rfam family "Bacterial small subunit ribosomal RNA", at positions 289 to 1525 of the family's 1533-position model. The record is from RNAcentral.